RNAcentral lists this transfer RNA (61 nucleotides) under Canis lupus familiaris (dog). Its description in RNAcentral is "tRNA-Leu". It matches the Rfam family "tRNA", at positions 1 to 61 of the family's 71-position model. From Rfam's summary of the family: Transfer RNA (tRNA) molecules are approximately 80 nucleotides in length. Their secondary structure includes four short double-helical elements and three loops (D, anti-codon, and T loops). Lineage: Eukaryota; Metazoa; Chordata; Mammalia; Carnivora; Canidae. The record is from RNAcentral.
AACUUUUAUAGGAUAGAAGUAAUCCGUUGGUCUUAGGAACCAAAAAANUGGUGCAACUCCA